Symsagittifera roscoffensis is the source of this 939-nucleotide long non-coding RNA. RefSeq lists it as uncharacterized. The transcript is spliced from 3 exons. The record is from RefSeq and is a predicted model, not a curated record. NCBI's taxonomy places the organism in Eukaryota, Metazoa, Xenacoelomorpha, Acoela, Convolutidae.
UGUUAAAUCAAAAAUUUUAACCGUUGAGAUGGCUCAUUUUUAAUAUUAGUUUUGUUGGUUGUAUAUUUAACUCGGACUCAACGGCGACUUUAAUGCAUGUUUUUUAGAGAGCUUUAUUUGAUUUUUCUAACGUAGUAGUUUUUUCGACGUUGCAUAUCAUUUAGCAGCAAAGCCUUAUUGCUUAUACGUCAGAAUGGAUUCGUGGAAUAGUGAAAUUACUAGAUCUUCAUCUUCACCUUAUCCCUACGUCGAAGCUACCACUCUACCUAGCGGUUCAGAAAAUCCAGGUUUUUCAUCACAAAAUGACCACUUCUUUCGAUUCGCACAAUGGGGAAUUGCUAUAAGGAAAGAAAGUCUUGUUGAACAACUCGCACCAAAGAAACAAAGCGCUGAUUCAUUGAGAAAAACACAGAGAAGACUAGACGAACUUUUACCACAGGUGAAAGAAAAAAUAAACGCGAAUAUAUACCUGGAUUUGGAGAACAUCACGUACCAAUAUCUUGACCAAGUGCUUCGAUUAAUCGCAAAUCAAGAACAACAUUUGGAAAAGCAAAUCAACAGUUCCGAAACUUGCAUUCAAAGUGUGAAUGAUUUAUACUAUUUCAUGGAUUCAUUGAGCAGCUUGAUACCAAUCGCUGGACCAUUAAAGGCUUUCAAAGGACAUCUUGAGUAUCAAAUUUUUGUCAGCCAAAAUAUUGAACCCGGAUCCCCAAUGAAAAUAGAAGAACGCGUUCUCAAAUGGCUGGCAACAGAGUUAGUGAAAUUGCAGAAAAACAUCCGAAACUCCACAGAAAACUUGUGAUAAGUGAAAAAAGAAAAUAGUGCGACAUACAGCUGAAAUUAAAAAGAGAAAAAGCCUAUCGUUAGAGCGAAAUAUUAAGUCUGCAAAUUAUGGAAAAAAAGUUAUUUCAAAUAAAAAUCUGGUUAUACUGGUAAUCC